RNAcentral lists this ribosomal RNA (484 nucleotides) under uncultured bacterium. RNAcentral describes it as "partial 16S ribosomal RNA". It matches the Rfam family "Bacterial small subunit ribosomal RNA", at positions 28 to 507 of the family's 1533-position model. The record is from RNAcentral.
AUUGAACGCUGGCGGCAUGCUUUACACAUGCAAGUCGUACGGCAGCGCGGGCUUCGGCCUGGCGGCGAGUGGCGAACGGGUGAGUAAUGCAUCGGAACGUGCCCAGUAGUGGGGGAUAGCCCGGCGAAAGCCGGAUUAAUACCGCAUACGACCUGAGGGUGAAAGCGGGGGACCGAAAGGCCUCGCGCUAUUGGAGCGGCCGAUGUCGGAUUAGCUAGUUGGUGGGGUAAAGGCUUACCAAGGCGACGAUCCGUAGCUGGUCUGAGAGGACGACCAGCCACACUGGGACUGAGACACGGCCCAGACUCCUACGGGAGGCAGCAGUGGGGAAUUUUGGACAAUGGGGGCAACCCUGAUCCAGCCAUGCCGCGUGCGGGAAGAAGGCCUUCGGGUUGUAAACCGCUUUUGUUCGGGAAGAAAUCCUCUGGGCUAAUACCCCGGGGGGAUGACGGUACCGGAAGAAUAAGCACCGGCUAACUACGUG